ACUAUAAUACUAGCUAACAAAAACAAACCCACAAACAUUAAUAACUAAAACAUUUUUCAUUUUAGUAUAGGAGAUAGAAAAAAUCUUUGAAGCGAUAGAUACAGUACCGCAAGGGAAUAUUGAAAAAGAAAUAAAACAAACCAUAAAAGUACAAAAAAGCAUGGAUUAACACCAGUACCUUUUGCAUUAUGGUCUAGCCAGUCAGUUAAUGGCAAAUAGACUUUUAGUCAAACAACCCGAAACUAAAUGAGCUAUCUAAAAGCAGAUUACAUAGCACUAAUCCGUCUCUGUGGCAAAAGAGUGGAAAGACUUUUAAAUAGCGGCGACACACCUAACGAAUUUAGUGAUAGCUGGUUGCCCAAUAAACGAGUUUUAGCCCAGCCCUAAGUCUUAUAUUAAUUCCACUACAAUAAUAACAAAAACUUAGGAGUAAUUCAAUGGAGGAACAGCCCCAUUGAAAAAGAAUACAACCUACAACAAUGGGUAAUGAUUACAAUACACAAAGAUUAAUUCACCAAGUAGGCCUAAAAGCAGCCAUCAACACAAGACAGCGUCAUAGCUUAAACAAUUACAAAAUCAACAAAUAUCAAUACACACCUCAAAACCCUAAAAACCAAAUGGGCCACACUAUACCGAUAUAGCCAAGCAUAUACUAGAAUUAGUAAUAAGAAAAUACGAUUUUCUCUUAGCACUAGUGUAAACCAGAUCGAACAAAUCCCUGGAACCUACCGACGAAAAAAUAUACAAACACAGUUAACUAGCUUACUCUAUCUUAACUAUCGUUAACCCAACACAGGAGUGCAACAAGGAAAGACAAAAAGAUAAAAAAGGAAUUCAGCAAACACAAGCUCCGCCUGUUUACCAAAAACAUCACCUCUAGCAAAACAUAUAUUAGAGGCACUGCCUGCCCAAUGAGAUCAACCCUUUAAUGGCCGCAGUAUUCUGACUGUGCAAAGGUAGCACAAUCACUUGUCUUUUAAAUAAAGACUAGUAUGAACGGCAAGACGAGAACUUAACUGUCUCUUUUAUCUAGUCAAUGAAAUUGACCACCAGGUCCAAAGGCCUGAAUAAAAUAAUAAGACGAGAAGACCCUAUGGAACUUUAAACACAUCGCCCAAUUUAAUUUAAACUUAUUAACCCUGGCUGUAUUGUUUUUGGUUGGGGCAACCGCGGAGAAUAAGCAUCCUCCAAGAACAUAAACCAAGUUUAACACAACAAAGUCUCAUUAUUAUGUUUCACGAUCCAAUACAAUUGAUCAACGAACCAAGCUACCCUAGGGAUAACAGCGCAAUCUUCCCCAAGAGUCCAUAUCAACGAGAAGGCUUACGACCUCGAUGUUGGAUCAGGAUACCCAGACAGUGCAACCGCUGUCAAAGGUUUGUUUGUUCAACAAUUAAAAUCCUACGUGAUCUGAGUUCAGACCGGAGCAAUCCAGGUCAGUUUCUAUCUAUUAAACUAAUCUCUCCAGUACGAAAGGACCGAGAGAAAUGGACCUAUGAUAUUUAUCAAGUCCUCAAAUCAAUAUGUGAAAACAACUAAACACUACAACACUUAUUUUAACCCUAGAUUAGGGACU
Molecule: ribosomal RNA, 1576 nt
Filed under: Microcaecilia unicolor
Lineage: Eukaryota; Metazoa; Chordata; Amphibia; Gymnophiona; Siphonopidae
Description: 16S ribosomal RNA
Rfam family: Bacterial large subunit ribosomal RNA
Source: RNAcentral